Arachis ipaensis is the source of this 134-nucleotide non-coding RNA. NCBI's taxonomy places the organism in Eukaryota, Viridiplantae, Streptophyta, Magnoliopsida, Fabales, Fabaceae. The record is from RefSeq and is a predicted model, not a curated record.
CUAGAUUAUUUUCUAUAAGAAAAUAUGGAAAGUGAAAAUUCAGGUGAAGUCAACUUUACCUAAAGUUGAUAUAUGAGAGUUAUUAGAUAAAAAUUUAGUCAAAUCAAUCAAAUCAUCUAACAGCUCUCAGAUAU